UACGUAGGGACCAAGCGUUGUUCGGAUUUACUGGGCGUAAAGGGCGCGUAGGCGGCGCAAUAAGUCACUUGUGAAAACUCCGGGCUUAACUCGGAGCGGCCAAGUGAUACUGUUGUGCUAGAGUGCAGAAAGGGCAAUCGGAAUUCUCGGUGUAGCGGUGAAAUGCGUAGAUAUCGAGAGGAACACCUGAGGCGAAGGCGGGUCUCUGGACAGUUCCUGACGCUGAGGGACGAAAGCUAGGGGAGCAAACGGG
This 253-nucleotide ribosomal RNA is filed under the name uncultured bacterium. Its description in RNAcentral is "partial 16S ribosomal RNA". It matches the Rfam family "Bacterial small subunit ribosomal RNA", at positions 524 to 776 of the family's 1533-position model. The record is from RNAcentral.